This 717-nucleotide long non-coding RNA is filed under the name Elaeis guineensis (African oil palm). RNAcentral's name for it is "long non-coding RNA (EGUI_LNC070208)". Lineage: Eukaryota; Viridiplantae; Streptophyta; Magnoliopsida; Arecales; Arecaceae. The record is from RNAcentral.
GGCUGCGGGGGCACAUAUGGGCAUUGCAGGGCCUCUCCCCCCAUCCGGGCUAAGUGUAACCGGGCCUUCGACUUUGCUCCUGUUAGGGCGAGGUUCUCCUCCUGUCCCUAACAAGGCUAUGGGGGCACAUAUGGACGUUGCAGGACCUCUCCCCCCAUCCGGUCUAAGGGUAACCGGGUCUUCGACUUUGCUCAUGUUAGGAUGAGGUUCUCCUCCUGUCCCUAACAGGGCUGUGGGGGCGCAUAUGGGUGCUGCAGGGCCUCUCCCCCCAUCCGAUCUAAGUGUAAUCGGGCCUUCAACUUUGCUCCUGUUAGGGUGAAGUUCUCCUCCUGUCCCUAACAGGGCUGUGGGGGCACAUAUGGGUGUUGCAGGGCCUCUCCCCACAUCCGGUCUAAGGGUAACCGGGCCUUCAACUUUUCUCCUAUUAGGGCGAGGUUCUCCUCCUGUCCCUAACAGGGCUGUGGGGGCACAUAUGGGCAUUGCAGGGUCUCUCCCCCCAUCUGGUCUAAGGGUAAUCGGGCCUUCGACUUUGCUCAUGUUAGGGCGAGGUUCUCCUCCUGUCCCUAACAGGGCUGUGGGGGUGCAUAUGGGCGCUGCAGGGCCUCUCCCCCCAUCCGGUCUAAGUGUAACCUUGCCUUCGAUUGUGUCGAGAUGAGAUUCUCCUCCUGCUUUCGACAUGGUUUGUUUCAAGUCCUGUCGAUAUAGGCUCGUGCCAAG